AAAUGAGAAGUAAAUUACAAUUAGUUUCGACCUAAUUAUAGAGAUAAUCUUUAUUCUCCUCAUUUA
Molecule: transfer RNA, 66 nt
Filed under: Xenophyes cascus
Lineage: Eukaryota; Metazoa; Arthropoda; Insecta; Hemiptera; Peloridiidae
Description: tRNA-Arg
Source: RNAcentral